GAGUUUGAUCAUGGCUCAGGAUGAACGCUGGCGGCGUGCCUUAGGCAUGCAAGUCGAAUGGUCCGAUUUUAUCGGACCAUGGCAAACGGGUGAGUAACGCGUAGGAAUCUACCCUAAAGUGGGGAAUAACUUCGAGAAAUCGAGGCUAAUACCGCAUGUGUCACAUUCAGUUACAUGAAUGUGACAAAGAACAUAACUGUUCGCUUUAGGAGGAGCCUGCGUCCUAUCAGCUUGUUGGUGAGGUAAUGGCUCACCAAGGCGAUGACAGGUAGGGGGCGUGAGAGCGUGGUCCCCCACAAGGUCACUGAGAAACGGGGCCUACACCUACGGGUGGCAGCAACCGGGAAUAUUGCGCAAUGGACGAAAGUCUGACGCAGCGACGCCGCGUGGAGGAUGAAUGCCUUAGGGUUGUAAACUCCUUUUAUAAGGGAAUAAGUUCUGAAGGUACCUUAUGAAUAAGCACCUGCUAACUACGUGCCAGAAGCCUCGGUAAUACGUAGGGUGCAAGCGUUAUCCGGAUUUAUUGGGCGUAAAGCGUUUCGCAGGCGACUCAGUACAUCUUGCCUCAAAGCCUGGGGCUUAACUCCAGAGAGGGGUAAGAGAUGGCUGGGAUAGAAUCAAGUCGGGGAUACUGGAAUUUGCAGUGGAGGGGUGAAAUCCGUUGAGAUUGCAAAGAACACCAAGGGCGAAGGCAGGUAUCUAGACUUUGAUUGACGCUCAGGUACGAAAGCUAGGGUAGCGAAAGGGAUUAGAGACCCCUGUAGUCCUAUGCUGUAAACGAUGUCUGCUAGUUGUUCUAAUUAAUAGGGUGGCGUAAGCUAACGCGUUAAGCAGACCGCCUGGGAAGUACGGCCGCAAGGCUGAAACUCAAAGGAAUUGACGGGAAGGCGCACAACCAGUGGAGCAUGUGGUUUAAUUCGAUACGAAGCGAAGGACCUUACCUGGGCUUGACAUUCUACUGCACGGUCCGAGAAAUCGGACAAGCUUUCGAAGGUGUAGAACAGCUGCUGCAUGGCUGUCGUCAGUUCGUGUCGUGAGAUGUCCACUUAAGUGUGGUAACGAACGCAACCCUUAUCCUAUGUUAUAUUUUCACAUAGGAGACUGCUCUAGUUAGACUAGGGAGGAAGGAGAGGAUGACGUCAAGUCAGCACGGCGCUUAUGUCCAGGGCGACACACAUCCUACAAUGGGAAGUACAGACGGUUGCGAAGCGGUAACGCUAUAGCUAAUCCUAAAAAACUUCCCUCAGUUCAGAUUGAGGGCUGCAACCCGCCCUCAUGAAGUUGGAAUUGGUAGUAAUCGCAGGUCAGCAGACUGCGGUGAAUACGUUCUCGCCUUUUGUACACACUGCCCGUCAAGUGAGGAGAGUUGGGGGUGCCCGAAGUAGUUUUUUUAACCC
RNAcentral lists this ribosomal RNA (1397 nucleotides) under uncultured bacterium. Its description in RNAcentral is "16S ribosomal RNA". It matches the Rfam family "Bacterial small subunit ribosomal RNA". The record is from RNAcentral.